AGAAUCAACGCUGGCGGCGUGCCUAACACAUGCAAGUCGAACGCGAAAGUGGAGCAAUCCAUGAGUAGAGUGGCAAACGGGUGAGUAACGCGUGGGCGACCUGCCUUCGAGUGGGGGAUAACAUUCCGAAAGGGAUGCUAAUACCGCAUAACAUCCUUCGUUUAGAUACGAGGUGAUCAAAGCCGGGAGCAAUUCUGGCGCUUAAAGAGGGGCCCGCGUCCGAUUAGCUAGUUGGUGGGGUAACGGCCUACCAAGGCUUCGAUCGGUA
Molecule: ribosomal RNA, 268 nt
Filed under: uncultured bacterium
Lineage: Bacteria
Description: partial small subunit ribosomal RNA
Rfam family: Bacterial small subunit ribosomal RNA
Source: RNAcentral